CUCAUUAUAGUUUAUAGUAAAAUAUCGAAUUGCAAAUUCGAAGUAGGAUUUGUUCUAGUGAGU
Molecule: transfer RNA, 63 nt
Filed under: Baicalia turriformis
Lineage: Eukaryota; Metazoa; Mollusca; Gastropoda; Littorinimorpha; Baicaliidae
Description: tRNA-Cys
Source: RNAcentral